AGAGUUAAUUAGACAAUCGCUGUUUUAAUAAAAAACGUUUUUAAAAUAGAGGAAAGUCCAGGCUCCUUUGGACAGGGUGCCAGAAAGAUAUCAAUUGAUCUGGGAAGCGUGAGCUUACGAAAAGUGCAUCAGAAAAAAAACCGCCGUUUUUCGGUAAGGGUGAAAAGGAGUGGUAAUAGCACACCGCAUGAAACGGUAACGUUUCAUGGCAUUGUAAACUUCCACCUGGAGCAAGGCUAAAUAAGGUUAAUGCGUCCUCAUUAUAAACCUGGGUAAGCCGCUAAAAAUCGAAUAUAAAAAAAUCGAUAGAUGAAUGAUUGUCCUAGACAGAACCUGGCUUAUAGGUUAACUCUGUAC
Candidatus Riesia pediculicola is the source of this 357-nucleotide non-coding RNA. The record is from Rfam. NCBI's taxonomy places the organism in Bacteria, Pseudomonadati, Pseudomonadota, Gammaproteobacteria, Enterobacterales, Enterobacteriaceae.